Molecule: long non-coding RNA, 923 nt
Organism: Ananas comosus (pineapple)
Lineage: Eukaryota; Viridiplantae; Streptophyta; Magnoliopsida; Poales; Bromeliaceae
Exons: 2
Source: RefSeq, a predicted model, not a curated record
AUUGUGGGUACCACGCUUGUAAGACAAUGUGUUUGGUCAUUUCUUCUCACCCCUCUUGCGGUAGUAGAGGCGAUCCUCUUUUUUAAGACCCAUCUCUAUUUAUUCAUUGCUAUUCUUUAUUUUUUUUCCUUUAGUUACAGAUGAUUUCCAAUGUUGAAGGUUGUGACCUUUUGGUUUUGUCAUCUUGUUUCCAUAUCUGUGGAAAUUUUGAAGUCCUACCUAGUGGUAUGAGCUUAAGACAUGAUCGUGGCUUCAAUAUUAAGAGAAUAUCAUGGAAGCUAUUAAACCACCAAUUUGAGACUAAACCAGCCAAGAUAUGCAACACUUCCCAACAUAAUGAAGGCAAGAUCAAAGGUUAUUAAAAAAGUCACUCCACAAGAACUGAAUGUGGAGAUAAAGUCGGACUUAGAGGUGGUUGAAGUCACAGAACCACCUAAAAGGAAAGCGGGUGUUAUGGUUUCUUCGGUGGAUGAGCUCAUCGACAAGUUGAAAACUGAAGCUCGUGUCUUGUAGGAAAUAUUUGCUAUAUUCAUUUGCAUUGAGUUGUCCAUGUUGGCAUUUAGGAGAACAGGAAAAUUUGAGCUUAGCGGUCUUCUAAGUAAUAUUUGCAUGAGUUGCUGCAUGUAAGAUGUCUUUUCAGAAUUUCUGAAAAUAAAUCAAGAAGAAAAUAGUUUUCACGCAUGCUCUCACUUAGUUUUCAACCUUUGAGUUCCCUUACUAGUUACAAGCAGCCUAGCAGAUAGAGUUAGGUUCUAUUAGAAGCUCAUUUUCAUGUCACACUAUAGCAAUUUUUCUGAGCGAGCUCGGAACAAGUUGUGUAUGGGGAUGAGGUAUGCACAAUAAAAAAUGCAAUACAUAUACUUUCAUGUAACAUCAACUUACUGUUACUUUACUAAUGCAAAUGAUUACAAAUGAUUUACUUC